This is a non-coding RNA of Leptonychotes weddellii (Weddell seal), 2005 nucleotides long. Lineage: Eukaryota; Metazoa; Chordata; Mammalia; Carnivora; Phocidae. The record is from RefSeq and is a predicted model, not a curated record.
CAAAGGCAGACGCCUAGCUGACGGAGCCACCCAGGCGCCCCUCUAUGGAAAAUUCUUGACAUGAUAUAGAUUUGUGAAUCUCCUACACUAACCCCACAAUAGAGGUUACACAUGUGAAAAGAAAAUCUCUGGGGUAUAGCUUAAUAUUUUCAGCAAUAAAAUCUGACAUAUAGUCAGAUUUGCUCUAAGGAGAAGAUAGUAAAUACUCUUUUUAUCUCAUGAAUACUUAUUAAAUAUCCACUUGUUGUCAAACACUAUGCUGGGCACCCCAUACUUCAAUAGGUGAAUCAUUCAGGGUAUCUGUCAUGAAGCAGCUUGAGCUCUAGCAAAGGAGAGACAUGAAUCAUAGGCACCCUGUCCCCUCCCCACCAAGGCCUGACUCCUCUGAGGAUUAAUCUUUUCCCAGAAGACUCCUCAGUCCCUGUGUAAAUAGGCUUCUUGUGGCCCAUAAAUAGUUUAAGAUGUAGCUGGAUCCAUGACGUAUAUACAAAUAAGCACUAUGUCACUCCAUUGUGGAAAACAUUACAAUAGCGGCUGAAACUGCUAUAUGACCCACAGAAGUUCAGCAGAAGAUACCACUUCCUAUUUCUGGAAUCAGGAAGGAUUCAUGAUGAAGCUGACUUUGAGCCGUGCCUUCAAGGACAGAGUUAGGCAAGGCAGAAGCAAUCCAGGGGAAAGAAAUACCUGAGUCAAAGACCCAAGGCUGGAAGGUACAAGAAAAGCAUGGCUGGAGAAGAGAACCAACGGCUCUUAGUGACCAGCUGUGGAAUCUGAGCUCUAAUCAAAAGGCAAGGGGAAGUGAGCAGGAACAUGGUGCAUCCCAGAGCAGCGCUGAGGGAAGUUGCGUUGAGUGCAUACCACAGAGCCUGGCAGAGUAUAGCUGUUUCAUAAACGUUCACGUUCUGAGAGACUUGAGAAUACAAAGCCAGGAGAACAGUGUUGGCCAUUGAAAUGGUCAGUGAGGUUGUGAGGCACCAAGGGCCAGAGCAUAGGAUGGCGAUGGCAACAGAGAGGCAGACAUCUGAGAGAUAGCCUGGGGAGAAUUGCUUGGGAGAGGAGUCAAAUCCAUCUUAGAGGUUCUGCAUCUUCUUCCCUAUAUUUUCUUGACACCCUGGUUUCCUGUAGACUCGCCUACAAAUCUUGACUGAAAAAUGUGAACAAUGCUGUCAGGGGUUUCACUUCUAACUGUCAUGGAAUUCAUACACUGACACAUGUCUCCCACUCAGAAAUUUCCCUAGAGAUCAUGGGAUUUUAUUUCACUUUUGGUUCACUUCGCUGACGUGAUCCUUACCAAGAGGCCUCUUCUGCACAGCCCACGAUUGCCAACUGUCGACUGCCGGCUGAUAGUUGCUCAAUGGCCUGAAGUGCCCUCUACCCAACCAACCCUCUGCUCUGAAUCCUAUCCAUCCGUCAAGGCUACUACCCCUCCCACACUGUCCCUGCCAUUUACCCCACCUCUGUCAGCAUUAACCUGUCCCCUCCAGGACUCUCAGAGUCCUCUGGGACCACCUCCCUCAGCUCAUCUCCCUCCAGACUUCCUGUCUCGGUGCUUGAGGGCUGGGCAGAUUCUUACUUAUUGCCCUGGUCCCAACACCUUACAUGGUGCCAUGUGCCUGGCAUUCAGCUGGUAAUUGUUAGAUCUUUGUUAAACUCAGAGGCUAAACAUUUCAACAUGGGUCAGAUUAGGAUCUUAGAAACUUCUAGUUCACUUACCAGCGUUCUUUUGCUUCUGCCCCCUUUCAAGCUAGGGAACUUUGUCUUUGACUCAUGCGUGACUGAGUAAGGAUCCUUUCUGUUUGGUUUCUCCAGGCCCGGCUGAGGAGCUCAGGCCUGCUGCCCCCCAUCUCCUGCCUGUGGACAGCUCACACUGCUUGCCUGCCCCUCCCUGAAGUGUGCGACAGGAGAGCGUUGGUCACCCCUAAUUUCUCUGCUUCAGGAGCUCUCAAAUUAUUUGACAGCUGUCAUUUCUUCAUCACAAACAUAAACACAUAUUUUUUAAACCCUA